GAAAUGCGAUAAGUAAUGUGAAUUGCAGAAUUCCGUGAAUCAUCGAAUCUUUGAACGCACAUUGCGCCCUCUGGUAUUCCGGGGGGCAUGCCUGUCCGAGCGUCAUUGCAAACCCUCAAGCCCGGCUUGCGUGUUGGGUCGCAGCGUCCCCGAUCUCCAGGGGACGGGCCCGAAAGGCAGUGGCGGCGUCGCGGUCAUCCGAUCAGCCCAAGCGUAUGGGGACUCUUCGUCACACGCUCGCGGCGCGGACCGACGCUCGCCCAUCCGUCGAACGACGAAACCCACAAGGUUUGACCUCGGAUCAGGUAGGGAUACCCGCUGAACUUAA
Molecule: unclassified non-coding RNA, 328 nt
Filed under: uncultured Onygenales
Lineage: Eukaryota; Fungi; Ascomycota; Eurotiomycetes; Onygenales
Description: sequence contains ITS1
Rfam family: 5.8S ribosomal RNA (bases 1-105)
Source: RNAcentral